RNAcentral lists this long non-coding RNA (1689 nucleotides) under Populus trichocarpa (black cottonwood). RNAcentral's name for it is "long non-coding RNA (PTRI_LNC001107)". Lineage: Eukaryota; Viridiplantae; Streptophyta; Magnoliopsida; Malpighiales; Salicaceae. The record is from RNAcentral.
AUGCAGCUCUCCUUGACAACAAUUACACAAAAGCUUAUGUUAAACUUCAGUCUGUUGAAAGCGAUGGAUCCACUUUCUUCAAAGACUUUGGUGUUUCCAUGAGAAAAAUGGGAAGGGUUGAAGUUCUUACUGGUAAAGCUGGUGAAAUCAGGAAAGUUUGCAGCAAAGUUAAUUAACUAGACAAAGUUUAGUGUCAUUAUGGAAUAUAUUUUUCUUGUGUGCAUGGAAAGAUAUAUAUGGCUAGUGACAUGCAAUAAUUGUAUCAAGUGUGGAAAGCAAUUGAUUCAUUAAUCAAUAAUAGUAAGCGUAAAAUAAUGUUUUUUUCCAUUAAUUGUAAGACCUUAUAAGCUUUCAUAUGAAGUCUUGCAAGAUUAGUUUUUUAUUCUCUUUUAUUAAUUUUUGUCUAAUUGUUGUGCAUGCCAACCUCUCAAACCCAAUGAAACUGCAUCCAUUCCAUUUCUAAAUUGGACUGGCAAUUAAUGAAGCGAUACCGUUUAAAAUUAGUUGACAUGUUCAGAUUCUAAGUGACUUAGAUGUAAAAGAACAGGAAAUGAAGAAUUAUGAUAGCAGGAUGUAGACACUCGAUGAUUAAUAGCUUACAUUUUGUUGUUCAAUGGCAACAACUUUUUUUUUUUUUGGGUUAAAGAAUCAAAUCAAUUCAGAAAUUUAAAUUGUUAGAUAAAGUCUUAAGAUAUAGUUUAUAUUAUUAUCUAACAUAUCCCCUCAAAUGAAAACACUUUGGACUUGAAAUUUACUUAAAUUUACAUUAUCUUGUAUUUAACUUUUAUCAAAUAAAUAGGGAUGAUAAAAUUCGAAUUCGUGACCACUUGGUUAUUAAUACUCUGAUAUCAUAAUAAAGAACCAAUUCAAUCUAAAAACAUAAGUUGUUAAAUAAAAUCUUAAUAUAUAAUUUAUAUUAUUAUCUAACACCUUCUACGGAAAAGAGAAACAUGUGGCAGGCUCUGAUUAUGGUAAGUUACUACAAAUAUAAGACCUGCUUCGUGAAGACCAAAUUAAUUCACAUUGCAGAGAUCGAUUGCAGUAAGGAGUAAUAAGACUGAAAUUCCACUAUAUUAACCAGUUAAACAAUUUUUUAUCAAUUCGAACGCAAUUCUUGUAAUGUUUUUCCAGAUUUUUUUUAUGAACAACGAGUGCUUAAUUUGUACAGACGUUAGUCAACUGUGCAUGGCAAGGACAGAUGUUUUGAGAAACAAUGUUGGCAAGUGUCCAUUUAAUUUCACUCUGGCACUUGGACAACAAAAAUUAAUCUACAAAGAUUUGGAAUUAGAAGAAAAUCUAUAAACUAACAGAUUUUGAAAUUGCAGAAGAAGGGUUCUUGUUUAUUAUUUGUUACGAGAACCGUGAGCAACACACUCAAAAUACUCGCGUUCUUUUUAUAUACAAUAGGCAAUAAUUAUCUUUCCAUAAGAAAAGGCUGAGCAAUAUUCUUUUCAUUUACCUGACAGCCUCCAUACAGUCUUCAAGGAUGAUUUGCUUGAUCUUGAUCUAGUGUUUUCGGAUUGUACAGUUGUUGUUUCCUCAUCUGCGACACUGCCAUUCUGGCUAGAAUUUGUUGCUGUUGAAACACCUUCAUCACCAAACAGAUUUCUAUCUUUAUCACCCAACAUUUCUCCACUAAUAGAAGCAAAACUAUAGCUAGUGCUGUUUGAGUCUUCAGCUUUAUUACUC